Molecule: transfer RNA, 72 nt
Organism: Sus scrofa (pig)
Lineage: Eukaryota; Metazoa; Chordata; Mammalia; Artiodactyla; Suidae
Rfam family: tRNA
About the family: Transfer RNA (tRNA) molecules are approximately 80 nucleotides in length. Their secondary structure includes four short double-helical elements and three loops (D, anti-codon, and T loops).
Source: Rfam
UCCCUGGUGGUCUAGUGGGUAGGAUUCAGUGCUUUCAUGGCUGUGGCCCAGGUUCAACCCCUGGUCUGAGAA